CUACGGAGGGUGCGAGCGUUGUUCGGAAUUACUGGGCGUAAAGGGCGCGCAGGCGGCUUGAUAAGUCAGAUGUGAAAGCCCACGGCUCAACCGUGGAAGUGCAUCUGAAACUGUCUGGCUUGAGUACUGGAGAGGAAAGUGGAAUUCCUGGUGUAGAGGUGAAAUUCGUAGAUAUCAGGAGGAACACCGGUGGCGAAGGCGACUUUCUGGACAGAUACUGACGCUGAGGCGCGAAAGCGUGGGGAGCAAACAGGAUUAGAUACCCCGGUAGUCC
RNAcentral lists this ribosomal RNA (274 nucleotides) under uncultured bacterium. RNAcentral describes it as "partial 16S ribosomal RNA". It matches the Rfam family "Bacterial small subunit ribosomal RNA", at positions 523 to 796 of the family's 1533-position model. The record is from RNAcentral.